Amphimedon queenslandica is the source of this 661-nucleotide long non-coding RNA. RefSeq lists it as uncharacterized. NCBI's taxonomy places the organism in Eukaryota, Metazoa, Porifera, Demospongiae, Haplosclerida, Niphatidae. The transcript is spliced from 2 exons. The record is from RefSeq and is a predicted model, not a curated record.
CGUAUCUUAAUUCUCUUGAUGUUAGUGAUUUGAAUCGAUCUGAUUUUGUGUUGGAGCUGUUCAUUAAAAGAAUCAUUAGUCCUGGUGAUGUAUCUAAAAUUAAGGGAGAUUCCAACUUCUUUGAUGAGUACAUCAGUUGAUCAGUAUCAAUACAGGAUUUUGAAACUAAGUCUAAAUGAUGGUUAUUUAAUACAGAGUACAAUUAUUAUGUUUAUGUUUCAAUUUUUUUUAAAUUAAUAACUUUAUGACUUUGCAAACUACAUUGGAGUAACAAUGUUAGAUCUACUCAUUAUCAGUAUUAUAGGAGAUAAAUAGCAAGAAUGUUAAGAUUAAUUAUACUAAAGAAUGAUUAUAGGCACAUUUUGUUAGAAAUAAUAGUAUUAUAAUGUACACUUGUCAAUCUAUCCUAAUUAUUAUUGAUAUUGUAUUUUUAGUUUGUGGUUAUCUUAUUCAUACUUGUGGUUAUAGGUGUUAUAUAAGUUGUGAUGCAUGCACAGUCUAACUAACUACUGUUACUUCUGUCUGUAACUGUCUGUUGUUAUUGAUUUGUUCUGUUUCAGUCGUUAUAUUGUUCUCUCUUUGAUGCUCUCUUGGCUCUGGUGUAUUCUCUUUCUCUCUCUCUUUGUUUUUCCUCUUGGUAUUAACUUGAGUUUACAUCAUA